Molecule: unclassified non-coding RNA, 439 nt
Filed under: uncultured fungus
Lineage: Eukaryota; Fungi
Description: partial contains 5.8S ribosomal RNA and internal transcribed spacer 2
Rfam family: 5.8S ribosomal RNA (bases 1-133)
Source: RNAcentral
UGGCUCUCGCAUCGAUGAAGAACGCAGCGAAAUGCGAUACGUAAUGUGAAUUGCAGAAUUCAGUGAAUCAUCGAAUCUUUGAACGCACCUUGCGCCCCUUGGCAUUCCGAGGGGCACACCCGUUUGAGUGUCGUGAAAUCAUCAAAACCUUCUCUUUGACCCUCUUUGGUUGGGAAAAGGAUUUUUGGACUUGGAGGUUCCAUGCUCGCCUUCACUUUUGAAAGCGAGCUCCUCUCAAAUGAAUUAGUGGGGUCCGCUUUGCUGGUCCUUGACGUGAUAAGAUGUUUCUACGUUUUGGAUUUAGCACUGUCCCUUGGAUGCCUGCUCCUAACUGUCUCACGGACAAUGAUGGUGCUCUGGUCACUGCCAUCUACAUUGGCGGGAGGCUGGACCCACAAAAGAAAACCUUGACCUCAAAUCGGGUGAGACUACCCGCUGA